This 265-nucleotide ribosomal RNA is filed under the name uncultured archaeon. Its description in RNAcentral is "partial 16S ribosomal RNA". It matches the Rfam family "Archaeal small subunit ribosomal RNA", at positions 717 to 982 of the family's 1478-position model. The record is from RNAcentral.
ACACGACUACAUUAGAUACCCGGGUAGUCCUAGCCGUAAAUGAUACUCGCUAGGUGUCGGCCACGGUGCGACCGUUGUCGGUGCCGUAGGGAAGCCGUGAAGCGAGCCACCUGGGAAGUACGGCCGCAAGGCUGAAACUUAAAGGAAUUGGCGGGGGAGCACAACAACGGGUGGAGCUUGCGGUUUAAUUGGAUUCAACGCCGGAAAUCUUACCGGGACCGACAGCAACAUGAAGGCCAAGCUGAAGACUUUGCCGGAUUAGCUG